Molecule: long non-coding RNA, 866 nt
Organism: Bombus pascuorum
Lineage: Eukaryota; Metazoa; Arthropoda; Insecta; Hymenoptera; Apidae
Exons: 2
Source: RefSeq, a predicted model, not a curated record
UUAUAUAUUCGACUAUCUUGAAUAAACAUGUAAUAAUCUGUGUUUUAACAGAAUAUAUCUUAUACAUCUUAAAUGUUUAUUUGAAUUUAUCACAACUCAAAAAUCAUGAUCAAGUGGUAUUUAUUUGAUUUAUUGUAAUUAAUUUUUUAAAAAUUCAGAAAGAAAGCAAUGAAAAAUAUAAACGGUACCCACAUAUAUCCUUGACCUUAUUAAAAACAAAAGAAAAUAAAACAUGGGAAACGAAAAGAUUAUAUAGUGUUAUAAUCUAAGAACCGUACCUAAGGUGUGGAUGGUGAAGGUAUCGAGCGCUAAAGGGUUAAACGUGAACGUUUGAACAAGCGUGAAGUCCCAUUCGAGGUCAACUUUUCCAGGAAUGACUUGUUAAAGAAGGAAUUUAUCGGUAGGUUUUACGGUUCUCUUCGUGGUUGCUUUGCCUUUACUGCAAAGCAAAUACAUAUAGAGAAAUGGGACCAGAGCUGAUGAUAUGUCGGAAGGAAGGAUCCAGUUUGCGCGAAACGUGUCUGUGGUUAAUCAGAGCUUUCCAGGUCAAAUACGCAACGCUUGUUAAACAUUAAAUAAAUGAGGUUUUAUUUUCUGUUGUUUAAGUGCUUCUUUGAUAAGUAAACGAAGCAGAUACCACACAAAUUCGAAUUUAAAUGACUCCAUCUCCAUCAUGAUAAUAAUAUAUACGAUUAAUAAAUAAUAAAUCUAUAGUAUCAAUAACAUUGAACAUUAUUAUUUAUCACAUAUAUUAGUAAUAAUAAUAUUGUUAUUAUAUAUGUCGUUAGUUCUUGAAAACACGGUGUAAGGAAUUUUGUAUACACAAUGUAUCUACAUUUCGUAAUAAAAAAACAAUAUGGCCGCUA